This 433-nucleotide ribosomal RNA is filed under the name uncultured bacterium. Its description in RNAcentral is "bacterial SSU rRNA". It matches the Rfam family "Bacterial small subunit ribosomal RNA", at positions 29 to 507 of the family's 1533-position model. The record is from RNAcentral.
AACGAACGCUGGCGGCAGGCCUAACACAUGCAAGUCGAGCGAGGUAGCAAUACCUAGCGGCGGACGGGUGAGUAACGCGUGGGAACGUACCCUUUGCUACGGAAUAGCCCCGGGAAACUGGGAGUAAUACCGUAUGUGCCCUUCGGGGGAAAGAUUUAUCGGCAAAGGAUCGGCCCGCGUUGGAUUAGGUAGUUGGUGGGGUAAUGGCCUACCAAGCCGACGAUCUAUAGCUGGUUUGAGAGGAUGAUCAGCCACACUGGGACUGAGACACGGCCCAGACUCCUACGGGAGGCAGCAGUGGGGAAUCUUAGACAAUGGGCGCAAGCCUGAUCUAGCCAUGCCGCGUGAGUGAUGAAGGCCUUAGGGUUGUAAAGCUCUUUCAGAUGGGAAGAUAAUGACGGUACCAUCAGAAGAAGCCCCGGCUAACUCCGUG